RNAcentral lists this ribosomal RNA (521 nucleotides) under uncultured bacterium. RNAcentral describes it as "bacterial SSU rRNA". It matches the Rfam family "Bacterial small subunit ribosomal RNA", at positions 97 to 650 of the family's 1533-position model. The record is from RNAcentral.
GGCGACCGGGUGAGUAACACGUGACUAACCUACCUUUGAGUGGGGAAUAACCUCGGGAAACCGGGGCUAAUACCGCAUAACACCGAGAGGUCAAAGGAGCAAUCCGCUUGAAGAGGGGGUCGCGGCUGAUUAGCUAGUUGGUAGGGUAAUGGCCUACCAAGGCAGUGAUCAGUAUCCGGCCUGAGAGGGCGCACGGACACACUGGAACUGAAACACGGUCCAGACUCCUACGGGAGGCAGCAGUGGGGAAUUUUGCACAAUGGGGGAAACCCUGAUGCAGCAACGCCGCGUGGAGGAUGAAGCCCCUUGGGGCGUAAACUCCUUUCGAUCGGGACGAUUAUGACGGUACCGGAAGAAGAAGCACCGGCUAACUCUGUGCCAGCAGCCGCGGUAAUACAGAGGGUGCAAGCGUUGUUCGGAAUUAUUGGGCGUAAAGGGCGCGUAGGCGGUGCGGUAAGUCAGCUGUGAAAUCUCCGGGCUCAACUCGGAGCCUGCAGUUGAAACUGCCGUGCUUGAGUAUG